GUAUUCUUAGGACAAUUAAAAACAGAGAACCAGUUUUUGCUUUUUCUUGUUAAUCAGAAAGUCUUUGUGUAACUGGAGUUUGAGAGAAAGGACAGGAGCACUCUGUCAGAUAUUUGUUGUCAAUAAUGCCUACAAGGAAAGGCCAUUCUGGACACUGGGUGACUGAAUUCAGAUACAGGUCCAUGAUUUUUUUAAAACAGAGAUAAGCAAAAUUCUACCCUUCAGAAGUCUCUCCUAGCCCCAGAAGGGAGAAUCAGGAUGUCACAUCAGAAACUGUUGUGUCCUCCAGUAAUACAAUUCUGGCAAGUAGCUGAAUUUUAGUUUU
Long non-coding RNA from Ochotona curzoniae (black-lipped pika), 325 nucleotides. RefSeq lists it as uncharacterized. The transcript has 3 exons. Lineage: Eukaryota; Metazoa; Chordata; Mammalia; Lagomorpha; Ochotonidae. The record is from RefSeq and is a predicted model, not a curated record.